RNAcentral lists this long non-coding RNA (1382 nucleotides) under Oryctolagus cuniculus (rabbit). RNAcentral's name for it is "lncRNA (ENSOCUG00000035080.1)". The record is from RNAcentral. Lineage: Eukaryota; Metazoa; Chordata; Mammalia; Lagomorpha; Leporidae.
CUUUGAGUAAAAUCCUAUUCCUUUCUCCAUUUCUACUUAAUUUCAAAUUUGAUGUUUACAGGCCUGCUUUUUGCUUGUAAUUGAGAACAUGUACAAAAAUACUGUGAAGAAGUCUGUGGAUAUUCAAUAGAUUAGAUUGUUCUGGUCUCUGUUCAUAUAUAGCUUUAUUCUCAGAAAUGUAACUUGAAUAAUGUGAUCUUUGAAGAGUCUUAGGCUUUUGCAAAUUGUGGCUAAGUUCUGUGAGAGCAGUCUUAAAAUGAAAAAUAUGGCUUUAUUGUCUUUAUAGUUCUUGCCCUAGUGAUUAUGUACUUGACUUCCGUGUUCCUAAGAAGUUUGAGUACUACUAGUAGAAUUACUCUGUAAAACUAAACAAGGAUUACUAGUACUUUUAUCUUCUACAUGCUUGAAGAAGAAAUGAACCAUAUCACUAGUAUAUUUCUUGUUUUCACUAAAAAAUAAAAAUAAAUGAAAAGUUAAAAAAAGACUGUCAAGGAAUAGAAAGAUUAGCUGUAUUUUGUCAUGUUUGAUGGAAUAGAGCUAGGCCCCAGAUGUGGAAAUUUUCGGAGGAUUAUUUUGGUUUACCAUAAAAGGGCAUUUGAUCCUGCAUAAAAAAAUAUCUUGGGGAAAGGAGAUCUCCAUCACUGUUGUAGUUCAAAUAGAGUUGAGUAUUGUGUUGGAGACCUAGAUAUCUCUGGUAUUCUUUUCAUUUUAAUGAUUCCAUUUAAUUUUUUUGGCAAUGCACUUUAGAAUGGGCAUCCUUUAGUUUACUUUGAACUCAGAGGUCCAUGUACUGACUGACUCUUUGCUUACUUUGAUCUUAAGGUUCAUUUACUGACCAACCUACCCAUUUCUGCUCUCCUACUCAAUUAAGAUGGAUUAAAGCUAGAAUAAUUACAUUUGCAAUGAGCACUAUUAGUCUGAACAGAUUACCGUCAUUAUAAUCUAAUUGCAUAGGUGCAAAUGACUUUGCGUAAAUGAGCAUCUGACAGACCAUUUCCAGUCAUUCUUUGUGCAGAGUACCAAUCGCAGUAUUUUAGAUGGAAUUUCAGUUUUAGGCUUUAACUUUGAUUAUGUUCUUCUUGGCAGGGAAAGGGCAAGCUGCAAUUUCACCACCUGGAGAGGUGCAGGCUUGAAGUUCACAGCUUCAAAGAAUGUGGCUGAUGGCUUCUCUGUUUUCUCAUCAAUCAAACCACUGAUCACUAUUUGUCACCCCUAGAGGUUUGGAUUCACUACUAAGGUACGAGACCAGACAGCUCUUUAUCUGUGCUGCAACUCAUUUGUUAUUUGUUGUCUGUUAUCUUACAAUCCUGAUCCAGACUUCCAUUUGAACUUCUACAUUAAAAUCAUCGCCAUGUCUGUAGCUUGAAGCAUGAUUCUAUCAG